AAGGAAUAUUGGACAAUGGUCGCAAGACUGAUCCAGCCAUGCCGCGUGCAGGAAGACGGCCCUAUGGGUUGUAAACUGCUUUUGUACCAGAGAAAACCUAUCUACGUGUAGAUAGCUGAUAGUAUGGUAAGAAUAAGCAUCGGCUAACUUCGUGCCAGCAGCCGCGGCAAGACGAAGGAUGCAAGCGUUAUCCGGAUUCAUUGGGUUUAAAGGGUGCGUAGGCGGGCUUGUAAGUCAGUGGUGAAAUCUCUCAGCUUAACUGAGAAACUGCCAUUGAUACUGCAGGCCUAGAGUAUAGAUGACGUUGGCGGAAUAUGACAUGUAGUGGUGAAAUACUUAGAUAUGUCAUAGAACACCGAUUGCGAAGGCAGCUAACGAAACUAUAACUGACGCUGAGGCACGAAAGUGCGGGGAUCAAACA
Molecule: ribosomal RNA, 421 nt
Filed under: uncultured bacterium
Lineage: Bacteria
Description: bacterial SSU rRNA
Rfam family: Bacterial small subunit ribosomal RNA
Source: RNAcentral